This 73-nucleotide transfer RNA is filed under the name Camelus bactrianus (Bactrian camel). It matches the Rfam family "tRNA". Rfam says of the family: Transfer RNA (tRNA) molecules are approximately 80 nucleotides in length. Their secondary structure includes four short double-helical elements and three loops (D, anti-codon, and T loops). Further hydrogen bonds mediate the characteristic L-shaped molecular structure. tRNAs have two regions of fundamental functional importance: the anti-codon, which is responsible for specific mRNA codon recognition, and the 3' end, to which the tRNAs corresponding amino acid is attached (by aminoacyl-tRNA synthetases). tRNAs cope with the degeneracy of the genetic code in two manners: having more than one tRNA (with a specific anti-codon) for a particular amino acid; and 'wobble' base-pairing, i.e. permitting non-standard base-pairing at the 3rd anti-codon position. Lineage: Eukaryota; Metazoa; Chordata; Mammalia; Artiodactyla; Camelidae. The record is from Rfam by way of RNAcentral. RNAcentral also lists the same sequence under 1 other name.
GAGGGUAUAGCUCAGUGGUUACAGCACAUGCUUAUCAUGCACAAGGUCCUGGGUUCAAUCCCCAGUACCUCCA